GACGAACGCUGGCGGCGCGCCUAACACAUGCAAGUCGAACGAGCGAGAGAGAGCUUGCUUUCUCGAGCGAGUGGCGAACGGGUGAGUAACGCGUGAGGAACCUGCCUCAAAGAGGGGGACAACAGUUGGAAACGACUGCUAAUACCGCAUAAGCCCACGGCUCGGCAUCGAGCAGAGGGAAAAGGAGCAAUCCGCUUUGAGAUGGCCUCGCGUCCGAUUAGCUAGUUGGUGAGGUAACGGCCCACCAAGGCGACGAUCGGUAGCCGGACUGAGAGGUUGAACGGCCACAUUGGGACUGAGACACGGCCCAGACUCCUACGGGUGGCAGCAGUGGGGAAUAUUGCACAAUGGGGGAAACCCUGAUGCAGCGACGCCGCGUGGAGGAAGAAGGUCUUCGGAUUGUAAACUCCUGUUGUUGGGGAAGAUAAUGACGGUACCCAACAAGGAAGUGACGGCUAACUACGUGCCAGCAGCCGCGGUAAAACGUAGGUCACAAGCGUUGUCCGGAAUUACUGGGUGUAAAGGGAGCGCAGGCGGGAAGACAAGUUGGAAGUGAAAUCUAUGGGCUCAACCCAUAAACUGCUUUCAAAACUGUUUUUCUUGAGUAGUGCAGAGGUAGGCGGAAUUCCCGGUGUAGCGGUGGAAUGCGUAGAUAUCGGGAGGAACACCAGUGGCGAAGGCGGCCUACUGGGCACCAACUGACGCUGAGGCUCGAAAGUGUGGGUAGCAAACAGGAUUAGAUACCCUGGUAGUCCACACCGUAA
Molecule: ribosomal RNA, 764 nt
Filed under: uncultured bacterium
Lineage: Bacteria
Description: bacterial SSU rRNA
Rfam family: Bacterial small subunit ribosomal RNA
Source: RNAcentral